Molecule: long non-coding RNA, 346 nt
Organism: Drosophila guanche
Lineage: Eukaryota; Metazoa; Arthropoda; Insecta; Diptera; Drosophilidae
Exons: 2
Source: RefSeq, a predicted model, not a curated record
GCGCCGUUCCUGCAUUACGGCUCCACAGUUACACUUGUUUAUGCCAAAGUAUGAAAUUUCCAUCAUCUUUCGGUAUAUCUGCUCAUAAAAAACCUGCCUGAUCAUUAGCAACAAGUUCUAAGUUCUUCACGGCUCUAAUGGACACGAUCGAUCAUGCAGCACGCCCAUCCCUGAGCCUCUCUCUCUCUCUCUCUCGCUCACUCAGGUCUAGCGACUUGAGCUCUCUCGAGCAGCGUCUUUGUUUGUCACACAAAUGAAGAGUUGAUGAGGAUGACGAUGAUGAUGAGAAGUAGUCGAAAGAUGCGGCGGAGGGAGGAGGGCACGAUGACGAAGCGGAUGAAGAAGA